Mus musculus (house mouse) is the source of this 850-nucleotide long non-coding RNA. RefSeq annotates it as predicted gene, 41329. The transcript is spliced from 2 exons. The record is from RefSeq and is a predicted model, not a curated record. Lineage: Eukaryota; Metazoa; Chordata; Mammalia; Rodentia; Muridae.
UCUUCAUGCCGGAAUCUUCGGAAUCUUCACCAACUGUCUCCCAAGACCACCUUUCUCUUGCAUUUCAACUCAUGUACCUACUGUGGUUUCCUCCAUACCACAAGCUCCCUCGUGCACUUCCUUCUGGGGACUACAGCACCAAAAUGAAGGUGGCUAGAACAACUUGCACUUGGGACUCUGGGACAUGAGUGACAGCAUAUGCAAGGACUAUGUGUGUCUGUUCAGCGGGAGCAUGGAGUCCAUGGGAAAGGCACCCAUCCCAAGGGCACUGUGACACACAAGGGCUCUGGCGUCGCUCCCUGCGGGAUGCUAGCUGAUGAUGUGAUGCUAAGACACAAUCAGAACUGACCCGUUCCCAGCUUGUCACUCAUCAGAAAUGUGAUGUGUCUGUGAAGCCCUGUCCUUCAUCUAGGAGAGAAAAAUGGGUUGCUGCCUUCACUUCUUAUUGAUCGGAGCAUCUUUCACUGCUGCUGCUGCUGCUGCUGCUGCUGGCCACCGCCGCUGCCAUCAGACUCUAGUUUCUUAAGCCUUCCAACUGAUUAGAAAUCAAGACUCUCCAGGAAGCUUCCAGGCCUUCAACACCAAUUCAGACUGCUGAUAAAUCCAGCUUCAUGCACUGAGCAACUACUGCGUCCUUGACCUCUCCAGUACACACACAGCUUGCGCACAGCUUCUGUGGGUCUACCCAGCACACAUCACAUAAAUCAAUCUGGUACAUGCCCAUCAUACACAUAUUCUGUGGUUGUGUCUUCUAGAGAAACAGUGCCUAAUAUGGAAAGAGACAUUCCACUAUGAUUUCCUCCCCCUUGCCCUCUUAUUUUAAAAUCAGAAUUGUUCAUUUUUGUUCUUA